GUGCUCGCUUCAGCAGUACAUACACUAAAAUUGAUGAUACAGAGAAGAUUAGUAUGACCCCUGUGAAGAAUAACAUUCAAAUUCAUGAAGCGUUACAUAUUUUU
Callithrix jacchus (white-tufted-ear marmoset) is the source of this 104-nucleotide small nuclear RNA. The record is from Ensembl. NCBI's taxonomy places the organism in Eukaryota, Metazoa, Chordata, Mammalia, Primates, Cebidae.